UACGAAGGGGGCUAGCGUUGCUCGGAAUUACUGGGCGUAAAGCGCACGUAGGCGGCUCUUUAAGUCGGGGGUGAAAUCCUGGAGCUCAACUCCAGAACUGCCUUCGAUACUGAAGAGCUCGAGUCCGGGAGAGGUGAGUGGAACUGCGAGUGUAGAGGUGAAAUUCGUAGAUAUUCGCAAGAACACCAGUGGCGAAGGCGGCUUACUGGUCCGGAACUGACGCUGAGGUGCGAAAGCGUGGGGAGCAAACAGG
This 253-nucleotide ribosomal RNA is filed under the name uncultured bacterium. RNAcentral describes it as "partial 16S ribosomal RNA". It matches the Rfam family "Bacterial small subunit ribosomal RNA", at positions 524 to 776 of the family's 1533-position model. The record is from RNAcentral.